This 961-nucleotide ribosomal RNA is filed under the name Stichotrichia sp. 1 bAcq4. RNAcentral's name for it is "SSU rRNA". It matches the Rfam family "Eukaryotic small subunit ribosomal RNA", at positions 242 to 1223 of the family's 1831-position model. Lineage: Eukaryota; Ciliophora; Spirotrichea. The record is from RNAcentral.
UGUGAUGAUUCAUAAUAACUGAUCGAAUCGCAUGGGCUUUGCUCGCGAUACAUCAUUCAAGUUUCUGCCCCAUCAGCUUUCGAUGGUAGUGUAUUGGACUACCAUGGCUUUCACGGGUAACGGAGGAUUAGGGUUCGAUUCCGGAGAGGGAGCCUGAGAAACGGCUACCACAUCUAAGGAAGGCAGCAGGCGCGUAAAUUACCCAAUCCUGACUCAGGGAGGUAGUGACAAGAAAUAACGGACCGAAGCCUAUGUUUCGGGAUUGCAAUGAGUAGAAUUUAAACCCCUUUACGAGGAUCAAUUGGAGGGCAAGUCUGGUGCCAGCAGCCGCGGUAAUUCCAGCUCCAAUAGCGUAUAUUAAAGUUGUUGCAGUUAAAAAGCUCGUAGUUGGAUUUCUGGAAGAGUGACAAUGUCGUCUUGUUGACUGUGCAGCGUCGCUCUUCCAUCCUUCUGUUAACGUUUCGGGUAUUCAUUUACUCGUCUCGGGCUCAGAUAUUUUACCUUGAGAAAAUUAGAGUGUUCCAGGCAGGCUCGCGCCGGAAUACAUUAGCAUGGAAUAAUAGAAUAGGACUUUAGUCUCCUUUGUUGGUUUGAGGGACUGAAGUAAUGAUUAAUAGGGAUAGUUGGGGGCAUUAGUAUUUAAUUGUCAGAGGUGAAAUUCUCGGAUUUGUUAAAGACUAACUUAUGCGAAAGCAUUUGCCAAGGAUGUUUUCAUUAAUCAAGAACGAAAGUUAGGGGAUCAAAGACGAUCAGAUACCGUCCUAGUCUUAACCAUAAACUAUGCCGACUAGGGAUCGGAGGCGCGCUUUAUCCGCCUUCGGCACCUUAUGAGAAAUCAAAGUCUUUGGGUUCUGGGGGGAGUAUGGUCGCAAGGCUGAAACUUAAAGGAAUUGACGGAAGGGCACCACCAGGAGUGGAGCUUGCGGCUCAAUUUGACUCAACACGGGAAAACUUACCAGGU